RNAcentral lists this long non-coding RNA (2528 nucleotides) under Anolis carolinensis (green anole). RNAcentral describes it as "lncRNA (ENSACAG00000039270.1)". The record is from RNAcentral. Lineage: Eukaryota; Metazoa; Chordata; Lepidosauria; Squamata; Anolidae.
AUCCUUGCAGCCCAGGAGCAAGCCAUCAGAACAAAUGCAAUUAAGGCCAAGAUUGAAAAAUCAGCUGAUGACCCAAAAUGCAGACUGUGCAAGGAAACCGACGAAACCAUUGAUCAUAUCCUCAGCUGCUGUACGAAAAUUGCACAGACAGACUACAAACAGAGGCACAACUAUGUGGCCCAAAUGAUUCAUUGGAACUUAUGCCUCAAGUACCACCUCCCAGCAGCAAAGAACUGGUGGGAUCACAAACCUGCAAAAGUAUUGGAAAAUGAACAUGCAAAGAUACUGUGGGACUUCCGAAUCCAGACUGACAAAGUUCUGGAACACAACACACCAGACAUCACAGUUGUGGAAAAGAACAAGGUUUGGAUCAUUGAUGUUUUUCGUCAAUGCGACUGUCACCUGGGAUGGCAACAUCAAUGAUCCAAACCUUUUUCUUUUCCACAACUGUGAUGUCUGGUGUGUUGUGUUCCAGAACUUUGUCAGUCUGGAUUCGGAAGUCCCACAGUAUCUUUGCGUGCUCAUUUUCCAAUACUUUUUCAGGUUUGUGAUCCCACCAGUUCUUUACUGCUAUUAUUAUUAUUAGUAGUAGUAGUAGUAGUACUAGUAAUAGUAAUAGUAGAAGAUGUAGUAGUAGUAGUGUAUCCCGCCUUUACCUCUUGACCAAGAUGCAAAUUCCAAAAUAGCAGUGUAGAAGGGACCACAGUUACCACAACAAGCGAAGAUGUAGAGAAGAUUCAUAGCUAUCUUUAAGGACUAUUCUCAGGCUGAGACUCUAAGGCUCGUUCCACACAGCUGAAUAAAAUCCCGCAUUAACUGCUUUGAACUGGAAUAUAUGGCACUGUGAAUUCAAGAUAACCCAGUUCAAAGCAGAUAUUUUGGGUUAUUCUGCCUUGAUAUUCUGAGGUAUAUGGUUGUAUGGAAGGGCCCUGGGACUGGUGUGUUUAUGGCCAUGUACUUCAUUUAGAGCUAUAAACAAUAGGGUUGCCAGAUUGCACACUUCUUUUAAUGUCACACACAAACAGGAUACAAUGCAACCUGAAAUUCCUGCUCCUACCCAACAGGCCAAGGCCUGGCAAUCCUACACCGCAUGCUCUUUAAAUGUGCUUGAGCUUAAUAACCCAGGUUUGACCCAGAGUAACCCAGAGGAAGGAAAGGUCACCUGAGGGCAAUGGCCACGGCUGCAGCCCAACAGCUAUAGCUCCCAGUCAAAGGGUGUUUCUUACACCAAUUGGCUUGCAACAAUUAUUACACUAUGGUUCUGGGUUAUAAAUGUCAUGUUCUAUCAUAAAACAUGGGAAAAGUUUAUUAAACUACAAAAACUUUGGGACAUCUUACAACGUAUUUUGUUAUAGAUUUUCAGUGACUCAUUCAACAUUAUUUGUGGCCACAAAAACAAAGUUUCUGGAGUAUAACAACUACUUUCAAAGUACGGACUCCACAAUUAAACAGGAAAUAGCACUUUCAAACCAGGAACAUAAUUUUUUUUCCAAAUUUUGUUACAUGGUGUUAUUAUUCCGCUACCAGUACCAGUACUAAGAUUUAUAUGUAAAUACAUGUAGUAUUGAACAGUGCUAUCUUCAUGUUAUAUACCGUAUAUAUUCGAGUAUAAUCUGACCCGAAUAUAAGCCGAGGCACCUAAUUUUACCACAAAAACUGGGAAAACUUAUUGACUCGAGUAUAAGACGAGGGUGGGAAAUGCAGCAGCUACAGGUCAAUUUCAAAAAUAAAAAUAGAUAUUAAUAAAAUUGCAUUAUUUGAGGCAUCAAUAGGUUAAAUGUUUUUGAAUAUUUAUAUAAAACUGUAAUUUAAGAUAAUAAUAAGACUUUAAUAAGAUAAGACUGUCCAACUCUGAAUGCCUAUAUACUCAAGUAUAAGCCGACCUGAAUAGAAGCCGGCCAGGACCCUCACUCGAGUAUAAGCUGAGGGGAGCUUUUUCAGCCCUAAAAGGGGCUGAAAAACUAGGCUUAUACUCGAAUAUAUACAGUAUUUAUCCUAUGAUGGGUUGGAUGAGGGCUAACAACCUGAAACUCAAUCCAGACAAGACAGAGGUCCUCUUGGUUAGUUGUGGGAUUGAUUGGGGUCGCACUCACCCUGAAGACACAGGUCUGCAGUUUGGGGGUCCUCCUGGACUCAGCGCUGACGCUUGAAGCUCAGGUGUCAGUAGUGGCUGGGAGGGCCUUCGCACAAUUAAAACUUGUGCGCCAGCUGUGCCCAUACCUUGAAAAGUCUGAUUUAGCCAUGGUGAUCCAUGCCUUAGUUACAUCUCGUAUGGAUCAUUGCAAUGCACUCUACAUGGGGCUGCCUAUGAAGACGGUUUGGAAACUGCAAUUAGUGCAGAGAGCAGCAUCCAGGUUUCUAACAGGAGCUGACUACAGGGAGCACACCACUCCUCUGUUAAAGCAGCUCCACUGGCUGCCUGUGAGUUUCUGGGCCCAAUUCAAAGCACAGGUCAUUACCUAUAAAGCCCUUUACGGUUCAGGUCCAGCCUAUUUGCGUGACUGUGUCUCCCCCUAUGAACCUGUUCG